This 451-nucleotide ribosomal RNA is filed under the name uncultured bacterium. RNAcentral describes it as "bacterial SSU rRNA". It matches the Rfam family "Bacterial small subunit ribosomal RNA", at positions 354 to 796 of the family's 1533-position model. The record is from RNAcentral.
GUGAGGAAUCUUGCGCAAUGGGGGCAACCCUGACGCAGCAACGCCGCGUGAGUGAUGAAGGCCUUCGGGUCGUAAAGCUCUGUCAGGCGGGAAGAAAGUUUUCAGGGUGAACAAUCCUGGAGAUUGACGGUACCGUCAGAGGAAGCACCGGCUAACUCCGUGCCAGCAGCCGCGGUAAUACGGAGGGUGCUAGCGUUGUUCGGAAUUAUUGGGCGUAAAGAGCGUGUAGGCGGCCUCGUAAGUCAGAUGUGAAAGCCCUUGGCUUAACCAAGGAAGUGCAUUUGAAACUGCCUGGCUUGAGUACGGGAGGGGAAAGCGGAAUUCCCGGUGUAGAGGUGAAAUUCGUAGAUAUCGGGAGGAACACCGGUGGCGAAGGCGGCUUUCUGGACCGAUACUGACGCUGAGACGCGAAAGCGUGGGGAGCAAACAGGAUUAGAUACCCGAGUAGUCC